RNAcentral lists this ribosomal RNA (405 nucleotides) under uncultured prokaryote. RNAcentral describes it as "bacterial SSU rRNA". It matches the Rfam family "Bacterial small subunit ribosomal RNA", at positions 355 to 774 of the family's 1533-position model. The record is from RNAcentral.
UGAAGAAUAUUGGGCAAUGGGCGAAAGCCUGACCCAGCAACGCCGCGUGAGGGAAGAAGGUUCUCGGAUUGUAAACCUCUGUCCCAUGGGACGAAACAAAUGACGGUACCAUGGGAGGAAGCCCCGGCUAACUACGUGCCAGCAGCCGCGGUAAUACGUAGGGGGCAAGCGUUGUCCGGAAUUAUUGGGCGUAAAGGGUGCGUAGGCGGCCUUUCAAGUUGGAUGUGAAAUCCCCGUGCUUAACAUGGGAAUUGCAUUCAAAACUGGAGGGCUUGAGUGUGGAAGAGGUAAGUGGAAUUCCCAGUGUAGCGGUGAAAUGCGUAGAUAUUGGGAGGAACACCAGUGGCGAAGGCGACUUACUGGGCCACAACUGACGCUGAUGCACGAAAGCGUGGGGAGCAAACA